GCCGCAAAAGCAUCUAACACCAAUUACCAUCAAAGGCACCUCAACCAACAUCUGGCUGGUGUUUCCUGCAACUGAAAGUGCCCCGGAGGAUUUUGUGCCGUCUUUCCAUCCACUGUACACCGGCCCAGGGAAGCAUCUGCUAACUGUGAAUACAUGAACUACUGCACCCAUCGGCCCACCGUAAGGGUGACAUCUAUAGGAAGGACGAGUACGUGAACCCCUCGUUUAAGCCAUUUGGAGACAGACUAUUCAGUCAAGCCUUUCGGUCUUCCUGGCCCUAUUAUAGGCCCGAUGCAGGCAUUUUUUGGAAUACCCUCUCUCAUAGAAACUUUUACCACAAUUGAUCACAUCAAAUACUCCUGUUUUGCCAAUAAACAAGUUAGACUACACAGAACAGUCCUCUUAUUUGGAAGACAGGAAUGGUUUAUACUGAAUUUCAGACUGCACACUGUGUGAACGUGUAUGAAGACAGAACAGUAAAACAGAUGCUAGUCACCAGCGAUAGUGGAUCUGACUAUACGGAGCCGCCAUCAGCCACUCGUACCUACGUACACGAUUGCAGUGGCUGCCAUACAGCCACAAGAAGUGAGAGUGAAGCUACCAGCAAGUGCAGCACGGUCCAGACCAUGCUGAAAUCUAUGUCUACAUAGACUGAGUACAGCACAGAGACAUUAAGCAGCCAGCAAAAGGCACACAAUGUCCGCUAGCCAGGCAUCAUCAUACAGGAUCAGGUCUCGAUCAAGUUGCUCUCGCCCAUGCAGAAGCUGAGGCUGCAAAAGUAAGGUCUUCCUUUGCUACAAAAGAGAUGCAACUAAAGAAAGAGAAAAAGUGUUACUGGAAGAAAAUACAGCUUGCCUGCAAGCAUCACUAGAAAACCUUGCCGCGGAGAAAGAAGUGGCAGCCACAAUAGCCAAAGCAGAGUAACUAGAAGCCAUGGAAUACCCCGAAUCUGAGAAACACAGUCAAGUACUUGGGCCAGACCUAGAUCAACAAGAUCCAGCACAGCGUGUCUCAGAAUAUGUCCAUCAGCAUCCCAUACCAAAUGACAACUGUGAUCCAGUAUAUCAGUCAGCUUAUACAGAGUGCCAAAGAUCCUACCUUGAAACCACAGUACCUCAAGUAGGAUGGUAUGCGACAAAGCGAUGCUGACCAUAACUACCGCCCUACAGAACAAAAGCUACAACCUUUGCUUCAAUUUAAAGGGACACCCUUCGCAUAAGAACAGUAUUAUACAGACUUCCCUAAGCAAGAAACCCCUAAAAGGUAUGGUGAUACACCGUAUAUGCAACAUAACAACAACAGGAGCUGGUUACCAAAUGACUUAUAAAGUUCACCGAUCGCCCCGAGAACUACAGGACAUGGCGAGCCUCCUUCCAGAAGAGACUUAGAUCUUUCCUAUAGUGAGGAGUUAGAUCUCUUGGUAAAGUGGCUUGGAAGCGAGUCUGCUGAACACGCCAAAAGAAUCAGAGACAUUAACAAACUAUCCGGGCAAAGGCCUAACGAUGGUCUGGGAAAGACUUGAUAAGUGUUACAGGUCAAUAGAAGCUAUAGAAAAUGCUUUAUUUAAGAAAAUUGAUCAUUUUCACAGAAUAGUGGGUAGGGGGUCAUCCGAAGCUCAGGGAACUCAGCGACUUGUUAAAAGCAGCUCAAGCAGGAGUGCCAGGGCAAGCAUUCCAGAGGUGUCAACUCGAUUGUCCAAAAACUCCCUUAUAACUAGUGUUGAGCGUGAAUAUUCAAAAAGCAACAUGAGCUUAGCAACAUCCCUAGCAAUGAAUAGAAAAGUUACCUACCCCUUACUAUAUAUAGAACCUCCCCAGCAGCUUUUUUCUAUAGUUUAUUCCAGUUAUGAAAGAUACAGCUGGUCAUUGCUGUGCUCUGUGCUUUGUUCUAUUACAUUAGACUGUUAACUUAUAUAUAUAAUUAAGAUAGUUAGGGGGAGAUAGUCAGUGU
Molecule: long non-coding RNA, 1950 nt
Organism: Bufo gargarizans (Asiatic toad)
Lineage: Eukaryota; Metazoa; Chordata; Amphibia; Anura; Bufonidae
Exons: 4
Source: RefSeq, a predicted model, not a curated record